Molecule: transfer RNA, 72 nt
Organism: Ovis aries (sheep)
Lineage: Eukaryota; Metazoa; Chordata; Mammalia; Artiodactyla; Bovidae
Rfam family: tRNA
About the family: Transfer RNA (tRNA) molecules are approximately 80 nucleotides in length. Their secondary structure includes four short double-helical elements and three loops (D, anti-codon, and T loops). Further hydrogen bonds mediate the characteristic L-shaped molecular structure. tRNAs have two regions of fundamental functional importance: the anti-codon, which is responsible for specific mRNA codon recognition, and the 3' end, to which the tRNAs corresponding amino acid is attached (by aminoacyl-tRNA synthetases). tRNAs cope with the degeneracy of the genetic code in two manners: having more than one tRNA (with a specific anti-codon) for a particular amino acid; and 'wobble' base-pairing, i.e. permitting non-standard base-pairing at the 3rd anti-codon position.
Source: Rfam
UCCCUGAUGGCUCAGCGGCUAAAGAAUCUGCCUGCAAUGCAGGAGACACAGGUUCGACCCCUGGGUGGGGAA